GAUGAACGCUGGCGGUAUGCCUUACACAUGCAAGUCGUACGAGAGUUUUUAACUCAAGUGGCGGACGGGUGAGUAACACGUAAGAAUUUGCCUUUAGGAGGGGGACAACAACUGGAAACGGUUGCUAAUACCCCAUAUGCUUUCGAGUGAAACGGAUUUAUCCGCCUAAAGAGAAGCUUGCGGCUGAUUAGCUUGUUGGUGAGGUAAUGGCUCACCAAGGCGACGAUCAGUAUCUGGUUUGAGAGGACGAUCAGACACACUGGAACUGAGACACGGUCCAGACUCCUACGGGAGGCAGCAGUGGGGAAUUUUCCGCAAUGGGCGAAAGCCUGACGGAGCAAUACCGCGUGAGGGAUGACGGCCUAUGGGUUGUAAACCUCUUUUUUCAGGGAGGAAUAAAAUGACGUGUACCUGAAGAAUAAGCAUCGGCUAACUCCGUG
RNAcentral lists this ribosomal RNA (440 nucleotides) under uncultured cyanobacterium. RNAcentral describes it as "bacterial SSU rRNA". It matches the Rfam family "Bacterial small subunit ribosomal RNA", at positions 28 to 507 of the family's 1533-position model. The record is from RNAcentral. Lineage: Bacteria; Bacillati; Cyanobacteriota.